UACGAAUUGGCCUGUUGUAAAGAAAUGCCCAGAACGUGGCUGCAUUAGCCACGGAAUGUGCGCUCUCCUCUCAUGCUUUACUCAUGAGCUCCUAGAAGAAAAAAGAUUAGGGCCUUCAGUAUUGCUUCAGCAAGAGAAGUGACUGUAGUGACUGCAACAGAUGCUUGGAGGGGUUAAAGAUGGCUUGCUGCUUUUUUAAAAAAAAAUUUUUAAUUGGUUGGGUCCUUCUUUUCAAGCUCAUCUGCUUCAGCAACAUGAAUAACUAUGCAAUGAACAUGAACAAACCGGCUUGUUGCACUAUUAUUUAAAGGCUUUAUCCUGGUCACGGUUGAGGAGGAUUCAGAGUCUAUCCUGGGAUCACAGGGGUGAAGGAGGAUUACAACCAGGAUGGGAUGCCAGCGCAACUAAGCUGCUCUAAGAAAUAUGUUUAACAGACACCAUGCACACACUCAUUCACACACUCACUCACAUCAUUCAUACAUUUGGAGUAGCCAAUGGAGAGGUGGAAGGAAACUGGAGAACCAGAAAGAAACGCAUGUGGGAUACAUCUGGAGCUGUGAGGCAUCAAUGCUACCCACUGUGACAUCCACUUUUUUCAAUCAUUAUUAUACUGUAGAUAUCACUGAAAUAAAAUUUUAUGCAUCAGUGUCUGGUUUCCUCCUUUAGGGGAAAGUGGUUUAUUUUAGGGUUUAAAAGAAU
Molecule: long non-coding RNA, 699 nt
Organism: Hemibagrus wyckioides
Lineage: Eukaryota; Metazoa; Chordata; Actinopteri; Siluriformes; Bagridae
Exons: 3
Source: RefSeq, a predicted model, not a curated record